This is a non-coding RNA of Lactuca sativa (garden lettuce), 2233 nucleotides long. The record is from RefSeq and is a predicted model, not a curated record. Lineage: Eukaryota; Viridiplantae; Streptophyta; Magnoliopsida; Asterales; Asteraceae.
UAGUUAUAAGGACGACUUGUCGUCCUCAUAGCUCUCUAUGCCAAAAAUUAGAACAGCCCCUUCGUUUCAUUGAUGCAUGCUCAAUAGAUUAAUCAUCAGUCUCUCUCGAUCGAUCGAUCACAGAUUCUUCCCUUCUCCCAUGGCGACUUCCUCACCUCUCACUACCGUCAAAUCUUCUUCCCCUCUCCACAGAUCCUCAUGCUAGUUGCCAAAGAUUUGCUUCAACAUCGACGAUUCUAACUACAGGCUUCCUUUUCACCUCCGGUUACGAAUUCUAACAAUUACAAGUCCCACUCCAGCGACCUAGCUCUCACAGAAAUCAUCGACGGAGAGGAAUGUCGAACAUUGUCGUGAUAGGCCUUGCCGGAGCUGGCGGAGGUAUUGGGGAUUUAUUAUUAUUAGCAUGUUGUUCUAUCUUGUUGUGGUAGCAUUAGCAGGGUAAGGCAGCAGAUCCUAAUGGAGUUAUACUUUUGGAACCAAUGAACCAAUUCUUUAAAGGGGAAGAUGUAUAUGGAGGCUCUUACAAUGAAUUGGAGGCUUAUUUAUUUUUCAGUCGUGCUUGCCUUGAAUGGAUGCAGAAUCCAUUGACCAAAAUGCAGGUAACUGGAACACAACGUGAUGUCAUACAUGUCCAUGAAUGGCAAGACAGGUAUUCUUGUAAAUCCUGAUGGAGAAAAACAACAAUAUGAACACCUCUCUUAACAAUAUCCAAUUGUGAUCUCAUAUCGACACCUCCAAUACAAAGGUCCUUCCCCUGCUGCAAUUGGCAUCAUAAUCUCCUCCUGUAAUGCCAUCAUAAUCAAUGGAAACACAAACACCAAUGUUUUUCCAGACCCUGUAAAUGCUAUUCCAAUCAUGUCCCUUCCAGAUAGAAUCACGGGUAAUCCUUGAACUUGAAUAGGUGUUGGUUGUACUAUUCCUUUUUCUUUCAUUUUUUUCAAAACAGGAUCCAGGAAUCUCAUGUCUUUAAAGUUUUUGAUUGGUGGAGGGAUUUUAUCACCAUCAACAAUGAUAUGCCAUUGUUUUCAAUUACCAUCACAUGCUUUUUGAGACAUUCUUCUUAAAGAAGGCAUGGUGGAUGCAGGUGGCAGCUUGGUGGGAAAUUUUCAUGUGGCAUCUUGGGAAAUUUUCAACUCCUUGGAUGUCAAAUAUGACCUUGUUGUUUUUGGAGGGGUAUUUUAGGCAUUUGCUUAAAUCUUAGUGGCUACAACAGAGUAUUUAAGAGACUCUUCUACCUCACAGUUUGGUCUGUAUAAAUCUCAACAAGCAAAAAAUCUCCAAGCCCACAAAUUUAAACAAAGCAUACAAAACAAAGCAUACAAAUUUAAACAAGGAAAUAUGCAAUUAUGACAUACAUGCACACUAUCAAAUAGGAAAUACACCAUUAGCACUUGUCUGGAAGGAUGAGACUUGUAGUGAGUAUGUCAUUGAUACAGAUAACAAAGGACAAAUUCCAAAUCAACAGCAGGUGGUUUUGGAGAUAUAAGAAAAUAGGGAAUUGGUUACAUUUGAUGAUCCUCCUGUUGUACUUGGUUGCUUGAAUGCGGGUUUUACACAAGAGACAGCACUGAAUAUAGGGAACCUUGUAAGGUUUGCAGUUAGUGAGGGUGGAUUGACGUUUAUGAAUGGGAAGGUGGAAAAGGCUGAUUUGCAGUAUAUAGGAAAGGUACAUCGUCUAUAGAGACGACAUGUCAUCUCUAUAUGUGCAUCUAUAGAGACGACAUGUCAUCUCUACUAGAGCAUCUACCACAACGAACACCUGUUACUAAAGGGUAUGAUGUGUCGACUCUGCAUCUCUAUCUAUGGAGACGACAUGUUGUCUUUAUAGAUACACCUAUAGAGACGACAUGUCGUCUCUAUAGUUUCGUCUAUGGAUACCAGCACCGCAUAGCGACGAACCAGAACAAGACGACAUGUUGUCUCUAAAGGAUACCUAUUGCGACGAUAUUUAUAGCGACGACCAAAAGGAUCUAUUGCAACGGGGCUAUGGAGACGAAAGCUAUAGGGACGACAUGUCGCCCCUGACACCUAUAGUGACGACUUUUUUAAACUAUAGAGACGACAUUUUUCAUCCCUAUAGGUCCCGUUUGUUGUAGUGAAUGAAUAUUUAUGAUCAAGAACAACCCUGUAAGAUGAGUAGGGAGGGUACACAUAUUUUGACAUUAAAUAGCUUCUUGAUCUUACUAUAACUUAUUUCUUACUUUGUGGAUCAAUGAUUGCUUUCUUUUCUGUA